Molecule: ribosomal RNA, 253 nt
Filed under: uncultured bacterium
Lineage: Bacteria
Description: partial 16S ribosomal RNA
Rfam family: Bacterial small subunit ribosomal RNA
Source: RNAcentral
UACAGAGGGGGCAAGCGUUAUUCGGAAUUAUUGGGCGUAAAGGGCGCGUAGGCGGCCUGGCAAGUGGGAGGUGAAAUCCCUCGGCUUAACCGAGGAACUGCCUUCCAAACUGCUUGGCUUGAGUCCGGGAGAGGUGAGUGGAAUUCCCAGUGUAGCGGUGAAAUGCGUAGAUAUUGGGAGGAACACCAGUGGCGAAGGCGGCUCACUGGACCGGAACUGACGCUGAUGCGCGAAAGCGUGGGGAGCAAACGGG